UCUUCCAUCUUCAAAGUUGACACUUAAAAAGUUCUUCAAAAUCUUUCCUCUUUUUGUGCAGCUUGUCUCUCCUCUCCUCUCCUCUCGUCUCCCAACCGAAGAACUUUUAAACGUGCAUUAUUACACUCUUCGGCAAUCUGGAAAAAAUGGCGCUGGUCUCAGCUAGCCGUUUCCGCUCUGCUCUCCUCCACCAACUACUCCAGUUCUCCUCUGCAUCCACAUUCGCAGCUGGUGGUCACGCCUUCGACCCGGAGAUUCGACGGCUGGCCAAAUUCCAGCGUUUCACCGACAUCGAAGCCCUUCUUGAACCCCGCAAGUUAAAUCUUCCGUCCGACUCUUCAUCCCGCGAACCCUACCUCGCCUCCUUCAUCAUUGCUUACGCAUCCGCUGGCAUGCUGGACCACGCCGUCCGCACCCUUGACGAGCUCCCUCGCCUUGGCUCCUCUCGUACCAUUCUCUCUUUAAAUGCCCUUCUCUCCGCUUGCAACCACUCUAAAACCCUUUCCACCCGUGUCCCUGACCUCUUCUCUAACCUAUCCCGCUACCACUCUCUCUCCCCUGACAAGAUCUCCUAUGGCAUCCUUAUCAAAUCUCUUUGCCUUGCCCGUGACUCCUCUAAAGCCCUUUCUGUCCUCAAAGAGAUGGAUAACAAAAGGAUAGAGAUCACCGCAAUAUCCUACACAACCAUUAUGGAUUCCCUAUACAAGGAAGGGAAGCCUGAGGAGGCCGACCGACUCUGGAAGGAGAUGCGCGCCAAAGGAGUUGCACCAGACGUGGCUGCCUAUAAUGUUAGGGCCAUGUACUGGGCGGUAAAUGGGGGCCCGGAUGAUGUGCUUAGGCUGAUCGAAGAGAUGAAGGCUGAUGGGAUGGAACCUGAUAUAUUCACUUAUAAUUACUUGAUGACUUGCUAUUGCAAACAUGGGCGGGUAGAUAAUGCGAAGAGGGUAUACAGGGAGCUUGGACAGAAGGGAUGUGAGCCCAAUGCGGCCACUUAUAAAAAUUUGCUUUAUUCCCUUUGCAAGAAUAAUGAUUUUGUGGGCGGACUUGAGGUUUUUGAGGAUUGUGUAAAGCACAGGAGGGUUCCGGAUCUUGGUUCCGUGAUGGCCCUGGUGAAGGGGUUGAUGAAGGAUUCCAAGAUCAGGGCGGCAAAGAGGGUGGUUACCGGCCUGAGAAAGAAGUUCCCUGAAGAAUUUUCAGGUAGUUGGAUGAAGCUGGAGAAUGUAGUUGGGUUGAGCAAUGAUGAAAAGUUAUUGCCUGUAGGUACCCAUCUCAAUUGUUAGCAAUGGAUCCUGCUGUCAGCAUAGAUUGCAGACUAGCUAUUAUGGUGACACUCAAGCGUACACGCCGUUUAAGGUUUUCAAGGGACUAUAGGUGUUGUUGCUGCGUACGGUUUUUUGCGGGGUUUUUUAACUUUUAUGGGAUUGCCCAGGUUCAUCUUUUUUUAUGUAUAUGUAAUGUGAUAAUGUGAUUUUUUUAAAGUUUUGAUUUUUGGGUAAGGUUUAAAGUCUAAACUUGAAGGUUAUUUUGAAUCAGAUUAGGCUGAUCUUAUGCCAGCUAUAUCUACUAACCUAGAUAUAUAGAGAUCUUUUGCCAACCAUAUCUACUAACCUAGGCAUAAGGAACCUAUAAAUAGAUAUUCUAAGGCAAAUAAUAUGCUAUCUUUGAUUUGAUAUUACUUUUUUUUUCGAAUUCUUAGUCUUAUGUAUGUAAGUUGGAUGUGCGGUUUAUUCGAGUAUGUGCGACACAAAUGUGGCUACCUAAUUCUAAAGGAAGUGAUCCCGUUUCAUAAGUGUGAGAGUUGAAUUUCUUUUAUUAUGGAAUUGAUUUCUUGAACUACUUGUUAUUUGCUUGUUAAUGCCAGUGAUAUAUUUCAAAUUUGUAACUACCAAAAAUUUAUUUAUGGUUAUUUAUUUGUUCAUUGCAUUAUCACUUGAGUUCUAAUUCUUAUAUAUACUAUUUGUACUUAAAGGAUGCAGGCUAUUGCUUUAGUGGUUUGUUAUAUUUGAAUUCUUAAUUUCAUGUUCAUGAUUUACAUAUAUUGCAUUAUCAUAUUGGAGACCCUGACCUUGAACCAUCUUGUAUCAACUUACGGGCAUCUUCUCUAACAAAUGGGGAUAACUUCAUAUUCUUCUUCCUCUUCUUUUUCUUCUUCUUCUUCUUCUAUGGCUGCUGCUAUUGCUAUUGCUUUGGAGAGUUGUGGAUUGCUUUGUUUGUGGAUGACAAAUGAGGGAUAUUGGCCUAGUUUUUUUGUGUUUUUUAAAUACUUAAGUUUCCUUUCAUGAUUUACCUAUAUUUCAUCAUAAUAAUUGCAUUAAGAAACCAUAAUAUUUAACCAUCUUAAACUCACCUUCUUGUUGGAGGGUUGUAGAUAAUUGUGCUUGUAGUGAAAAAUGGGGUAAGAUGGGAUGGAAGCUAGGGAUGAGGAUGGAGGGCUAAGUGGGUGAAUGGAAAUAGUAAAUGGGAAUGCUAAUAUUGGAGUUGGGGUUAUACCUACAAGAGCAAAAAGUGAGAGGAGUGGGGAGAUGAGAACAAGGAAAGUCUUGAUAGGAAACACUUGUAGAUCUCAAGUAUUUCCUAUCAAUCUUCGGAAAACAGUGAGAAUUCUUCUCAAAAAUCCGCACAAAAUCACAAAAACAGUAGAUAAUU
RNA transcript from Dendrobium catenatum, 2646 nucleotides. It is a transcript of the gene named pentatricopeptide repeat-containing protein At4g36680, mitochondrial, with no coding region annotated. The record is from RefSeq and is a predicted model, not a curated record. NCBI's taxonomy places the organism in Eukaryota, Viridiplantae, Streptophyta, Magnoliopsida, Asparagales, Orchidaceae. The transcript is spliced from 3 exons.